RNAcentral lists this ribosomal RNA (342 nucleotides) under uncultured bacterium. RNAcentral describes it as "bacterial SSU rRNA". It matches the Rfam family "Bacterial small subunit ribosomal RNA", at positions 8 to 334 of the family's 1533-position model. The record is from RNAcentral.
AGAGUUCGAUCCUGGCUCAGGAUGAACGCUGGCGGCGUGCCUAACACAUGCAAGUCGAACGAAGCACCUUGGGAGAUUCUUCGGAUGAUCUUAUGGUGACUGAGUGGCGGACGGGUGAGUAACGCGUGGGUAACCUGCCCUGUACAGGGGGACAACAGCUAGAAAUGGCUGCUAAUACCGCAUAAGCGCACAGGAAGACAUCUUCCAGUGUGAAAAACUCCGGUGGUACAGGAUGGGCCCGCGUCUGAUUAGCUGGUUGGCGGGGUAACGGCCCACCAAGGCGACGAUCAGUAGCCGGUCUGAGAGGAUGAACGGCCACAUUGGAACUGAGACACGGUCCAA